RNAcentral lists this ribosomal RNA (207 nucleotides) under uncultured bacterium. RNAcentral describes it as "partial 16S ribosomal RNA". It matches the Rfam family "Bacterial small subunit ribosomal RNA", at positions 568 to 774 of the family's 1533-position model. The record is from RNAcentral.
CGCGUAGGCGGGAUGUCAAGUUAGGGGUGAAAGGCCUGGGCUCAACCUAGGAACUGCCUCUAAAACUGACAUUCUAGAGUCCGGGAGAGGAUGGCGGAAUUCCCAGUGUAGAGGUGAAAUUCGUAGAUAUUGGGAAGAACACCGGUGGCGAAGGCGGCCAUCUGGUCCGGCACUGACGCUGAGGCGCGAAAGCGUGGGGAGCAAACA